GUGCCAGCAGCCGCGGUAAUACGGAGGAUGCAAGCGUUAUCCGGAAUGAUUGGGCGUAAAGCGUCCGCAGGUGGCGAUGUAAGUCUGCUGUUAAAGAGUGAGGCUCAACCUCAUAAGAGCAGUGGAAACUACAUAGCUAGAGUACGUUCGGGGCAGAGGGAAUUCCUGGUGUAGCGGUGAAAUGCGUAGAGAUCAGGAAGAACACCAGUGGCGAAGGCGCUCUGCUAGGCCGUAACUGACACUGAGGGACGAAAGCUAGGGGAGCGAAUGGGAUUAGAUACCCCAGUAGUCCUAGCCGUAAACGAUGGAUACUAGGCGUGGCUUGUAUCGACCCGAGCCGUGCCGUAGCUAACGCGUUAAGUAUCCCGCCUGGGGAGUACGCCGGCAACGGUGAAACUCAAAGGAAUUGACGGGGGCCCGCACAAGCGGUGGAGUAUGUGGUUUAAUUCGAUGCAACGCGAAGAACCUUACCAAGGCCUGACAUGUCGCGAAUCUUCUUGAAAGGGAAGAGUGCCUUCGGGAGCGCGAACACAGGUGGUGCAUGGCUGUCGUCAGCUCGUGUCGUGAGAUGUUGGGUUAAGUCCCGCAACGAGCGCAACCCUCGUUUUUAGUUGCCAGCAUUAAGUUGGGCACUCUAGAGAGACUGCCGGUGACAAACCGGAGGAAGGUGGGGAUGACGUCAAGUCAGCAUGCCCCUUACGCCUUGGGCUACACACGUACUACAAUGCUCCGGACAGAGGGCAGCAAGCAUGCGAAUGCAAGCAAAUCCCGUAAACCGGAGCUCAGUUCAGAUCGCAGGCUGCAACUCGCCUGCGUGAAGGAGGAAUCGCUAGUAAUUGCAGGUCAGCAUACUGCAGUGAAUUCGUUCCCGGGCCUUGUACACACCGCCCGUCACACCAUGGAAGCUGGUAGUGCCCGAAGUCAUUACUCCAACCUUUCGGGGGGGAGGAUGCCUAAGGCAGGACUGGUGACUGGGGUGAAGUCGUAACAAGGUAACC
This 998-nucleotide ribosomal RNA is filed under the name uncultured bacterium. RNAcentral's name for it is "bacterial SSU rRNA". It matches the Rfam family "Bacterial small subunit ribosomal RNA", at positions 505 to 1501 of the family's 1533-position model. The record is from RNAcentral.